UACGGAAGGUCCGGGCGUUAUCCGGAUUUAUUGGGUUUAAAGGGAGCGUAGGCCGCCAGGUAAGCGUGUUGUGAAAUGUACCGGCUCAACCGGUGAAUUGCAGCGCGAACUGUCUGGCUUGAGUGCACGGUAAGCAGGCGGAAUUCAUGGUGUAGCGGUGAAAUGCUUAGAUAUCAUGAAGAACUCCGAUUGCGAAGGCAGCUUGCUGCAGUGCGACUGACGCUGAUGCUCGAAGGUGCGGGUAUCAAACAGG
Molecule: ribosomal RNA, 253 nt
Filed under: Hoylesella buccalis ATCC 35310
Lineage: Bacteria; Pseudomonadati; Bacteroidota; Bacteroidia; Bacteroidales; Prevotellaceae
Also listed under: 1 other name
Description: Prevotella buccalis ATCC 35310 partial 16S ribosomal RNA
Rfam family: Bacterial small subunit ribosomal RNA
Source: RNAcentral